CCACUUAUCAUGCUCCUCAAUGCUAGCCCAGGAAUUGCCUGGAUAACAGCAGGAUGCUGGUGGGAUUGUGCUCUGACAGCUACCGAGAGCCUGGGGCUUCCAGCAGUGCCUGGAGGAAGUGCUCAUGUGAGGGAGCAUCUGCAAUGGUUGCUUUUUGGCUGCAGUAAUGGUCUGCUGAGGUGACCAGAAUCCUUUGUGAGGUCUUCAUAGACCUCUGUGCUUGAUGUGGUUUCUUUCUUCCAUCCCAGCACUUAAAAAGAAGGAAAACCCACAUCAGGACAGAGCUGCAGAAGUAACUGCUGUGCCUGAAGACCCACACAGUGACCAAAUCCCGCCCUGUGACAGACUGAGGAGUGUGACUACGUUGCUGUCAUGGAGCAAACUUCCCUAUGGAGAGCCAGGGGAUGUUGGAUGUCAGCAGGGCAAAAGCACAGUCACCAUCUCCCUCUCCCUGAGGGGAGGCAAGACCAUGG
Long non-coding RNA from Lagopus leucura (white-tailed ptarmigan), 473 nucleotides. RefSeq lists it as uncharacterized. The transcript is spliced from 4 exons. Lineage: Eukaryota; Metazoa; Chordata; Aves; Galliformes; Phasianidae. The record is from RefSeq and is a predicted model, not a curated record.